Long non-coding RNA from Triplophysa rosa, 964 nucleotides. RefSeq lists it as uncharacterized. The transcript has 3 exons. NCBI's taxonomy places the organism in Eukaryota, Metazoa, Chordata, Actinopteri, Cypriniformes, Nemacheilidae. The record is from RefSeq and is a predicted model, not a curated record.
UGUGGAAUACUGUUGACCUGCUAUCUCUCCCUAAAAAAGACACCUAAAAUGUUCAGUUAUUCAACUAUAUGGAGGAGUGGAGUGGAAUGUUAAAGAACUGAGCUGGCCAAGCCAAACAUCUCCAAAGGUCCUGAAAUUGAUUGGUGACAUUAUUAUCUCAACUCAGCAUUGUCCUCAUUCAACGUGGACCUGUUUCUGCAUUCAGUCAUGACGUUUAUGACAGAGAGUGAGAGAGAGAGAGACUGACAACACUCAUAGACGAGAGAGGGGCAUGUAAAGUAUGGACUGAAGAGAGCCAACGACUUCCACGUUCACCAUGCCACUGCACAUGCAACAAAAGUCCUGUGAGUAAUGGCCAAUAACUCUAAUUUAUUAUGUAUUAUAUGUACUCCGUGCAAAAGGGACAAGGAAAUCGUUUUUCUGGUAACUCUGGCAAGGACUGAUUUUUAUAAUAUCUGAUUUUAUGAUAUUAUACCUUUGCCCCCACAACAAAGCUUUUUUUUUACACUUUUUUUUUACAUUUUUUCGAUUUUCAAAGAUUUUGCCAUAGCAGGCCAUCAUGGCAAAAUGUUACCAGCAGAAACACUGUGUGAUUGUUCUCUCUGCUCUCUCUGAUGCUGGUGUUAGGUCCUGAGAUCCUGAUCUGCAAUAACUCAUUCCACCAAACCUGGCGGGAUCCUCAAUGUUCACAUACUGCACCCUUGCCUCAACAACUACAGGAAGACAGCACCGUGGGAAUAUCUUGACACCUUGCUUAUCUAUUAAGGUCACUUUUAUGCCGAUGGAUUUUGGAAUUUUGUCUGACUGUGGAAUGUGGGAGGAAGUCAGGGCAACCCUGGUAAUUCUAUUCAAGCACAUUCAUUUUAUUACUCUCAAACAUCCUGCUGAGCUGUAAGUAUCAUACUGAGGACUGAUGUAUUUUUAUUUUAUUAUUUAAAGAAACAUGAUUUAAUAUUUUCAUCAA